This is a long non-coding RNA of Cyprinus carpio carpio, 1055 nucleotides long. NCBI's taxonomy places the organism in Eukaryota, Metazoa, Chordata, Actinopteri, Cypriniformes, Cyprinidae. The record is from Ensembl.
AAAUGUUUAAUCUGGACAGAAAACAGAUGCGCUGUUGCUGUUGAUUUGAGAAAUGAACAGCAAAUGUUUUUGAUGUUGUUGAUUCUCUUCCACGUGUUGCGUUAUCCAGAAAGAAUAACGAACAUUGGGAAGACAUUGGUUUAUUUGUAAAAAUUUGUAUUUUUCAUGUGAAUUUGGUGGAGACAGCAGAGGACAAUGUCGAAUACAAUCCAACACUGUCUGCAUACCGAAUGUGUUUGCACGGGCCUGCUGUUAAAGCUGUACGCACAGUCUGUGUGAUUGAUGACACAGAGACCGGUCACUGCUUUCUCUCAGCGAUCAUGGGGGAGACCUGUGGCCUAUUUUUCGAGUAAGCUCGAUCCGGUAGCAGCAGGCAUGACAAAAUGCCUGAGAGCUGUUGCAUCUGCAGAAAAAGCUAUUUUAUCUUCAAGGGAAAUUUUGGGGUACUCUGAUGUGACUUUGCUCGUGCCACGCUCGAUCUCUGUGAUCCUGUUGGAACAGAAAACAUCCCAUUUGUCAACCGACAGAUGGCUCAGGUACAAUGCAAUUCUAUUUGAAAUGCCAAACAUCACGAUUAAAAGAUGCACAGUGUUAAAUCCUGCUACACUGCUCCCUACGAAGCAGGAUGGGGAAACAACACAACUGUGUUGCCACAUUUGAACAGGUCUGUACACCAAGAUCAGAUUUAAAAGAAACCCCCUUAGAAAAUGCUGACUUAAUUCUAAUCAUUGAUGGUUAAGCAUCUAGAGACCCAAAUAUUGGCAAAAACAGAACAAAUUAAGCUGUAACAACUGCAUAUGCAACAAUAACAUCUGGAGCGCUCCCCGCGCAUUGCUCUGCGCAAGCGGCUGAAUUGGUAGCAUUGACAGAGGCUUGCAAAAUUGCUAAAGGGCAAACAGUUACCAUCUACACAGAUUCUCGUUAUUCUUUUGGGGUUUGUCAUGAUUUAGUGGCAUUGUGGAAACACAGGAAAUUUCUAAAGUCCGAUGGCAAGACUGUUCUAAACCAUGAUAAAAUAGCAGCAUUGUUUGAAGCAAUUUUGUUACCAAAGUCAA